This 465-nucleotide ribosomal RNA is filed under the name uncultured bacterium. Its description in RNAcentral is "partial 16S ribosomal RNA". It matches the Rfam family "Bacterial small subunit ribosomal RNA", at positions 28 to 507 of the family's 1533-position model. The record is from RNAcentral.
GACGAACGCUGGCGGCGUGCUUAACACAUGCAAGUCGUACGGUAAGGCCCUUUCGGGGGUACACGAGUGGCGCACGGGUGAGUAACACGUGAGUAACCUGCCCACAACUUUGGGAUAACGCUAGGAAACUGGUGCUAAUACUGGAUAUGUGCUCCUUCUGCAUGGUGGGGGUUGGAAAGCUCCGGCGGUUGUGGAUGGACUCGCGGCCUAUCAGCUUGUUGGUGGGGUAGUGGCCUACCAAGGCGGCGACGGGUAGCCGGCCUGAGAGGGUGACCGGCCACAUUGGGACUGAGAUACGGCCCAGACUCCGACGGGAGGAAGCAGUGGGGAAUAUUGCACAAUGGGCGCAAGCCGGAUGCAGCAACGCCGCGUGCGGGAUGACGGCCUUCGGGUUGUAAACCGCUUUCAGCAGGGACGAAGCUUUUUGUGACGGUACCUGCAGAAGAAGCACCGGCUAACUACGUG